Molecule: long non-coding RNA, 271 nt
Filed under: Mytilus galloprovincialis (Mediterranean mussel)
Lineage: Eukaryota; Metazoa; Mollusca; Bivalvia; Mytilida; Mytilidae
Source: RNAcentral
CAAAUUGAAAUUUAUAUUCUUCAGUCUGAUAAACUAUUUUUGUUAGAAUUUUUCAUUGAUGAAUUCUUUAAGUAGCCGAAUCAUACUUUUGACAGGAUUUGAAUUUCUAUGUCCAUGGGAGUUUUAACUAGAGAAACGAUAAUGAAAGAAGUCAUCCUGGUAAAUGACGACAAAUUUUUAUAUAACAUACAAGGCACUGGUUAAAUUUUUUCAAUUCACUUCGGUUAAGAGGCAUUAAUUUUAGGAAAUGACAUUUUUCAAACAAUGCGGG